RNAcentral lists this ribosomal RNA (770 nucleotides) under Bacillus subtilis. RNAcentral's name for it is "bacterial SSU rRNA". It matches the Rfam family "Bacterial small subunit ribosomal RNA", at positions 84 to 844 of the family's 1533-position model. Lineage: Bacteria; Bacillati; Bacillota; Bacilli; Caryophanales; Bacillaceae. The record is from RNAcentral.
CUAGAUAGUUAGCGGCGGACGGGUGAGUAACACGUGGGUAACCUGCCUGUAAGACUGGGAUAACUCCGGGAAACCGGGGCUAAUACCGGAUGGUUGUUUGAACCGCAUGGUUCAAACAUAAAAGGUGGCUUCGGCUACCACUUACAGAUGGACCCGCGGCGCAUUAGCUAGUUGGUGAGGUAACGGCUCACUAAGGCAACGAUGCGUAGCCGACCUGAGAGGGUGAUCGGCCACACUGGGACUGAGACACGGCCCAGACUCCUACGGGAGGCAGCAGUAGGGAAUCUUCCGCAAUGGACGAAAGUCUGACGGAGCAACGCCCGUGAGUGAUGAAGGUUUUCGGAUCGUAAGCUCUGUUGUUAGGGAAGAACAAGUACCGUUCGAAUAGGGCGGUACCUUGACGGUACCUAACCAGAAAGCCACGGCUAACUACGUGCCAGCAGCCGCGGUAAUACGUAGGUGGCAAGCGUUGUCCGGAAUUAUUGGGCGUAAAGGGCUCGCAGGCGGUUUCUUAAGUCUGAUGUGAAAGCCCCCGGCUCACCGGGGAGGGUCAUUGGAACUGGGGAACUUGAGUGCAGAAGAGGAGAGUGGAAUUCCACGUGUAGCGGUGAAAUGCGUAGAGAUGUGGAGGAACACCAGUGGCGAAGCGACUCUCUGGUCUGUAACUGACGCUGAGGAGCGAAAGCGUGGGGAGCGAACAGGAUUAGAUACCCUGGUAGUCCACGCCGUAACGAUGAGUGCUAAGUGUUAGGGGGUUUCCGCCCCUUAGU